GGGCUGCAAGCAGUAGGGGGCGAGCCUUCGCCCGGCUGAGGGGCCGGGUACUGCGUGCCCGGAAAGGUGGUCCGGGCCUCGAAGAGAGCUUUCGGAGGGAGGGCCGUCGGGCCAGCCGCUGUGUUCGGCUUCUUACUCAAUAAUAAUAAUUAACAAGUCUACACUUCCACGUUCUCUUGCUCGUGUAGUGCCAGGCACUGUUAGAGACUUUGAAUAAUAAUGCAAGUACUUAUUGUAAACAUGAUGUUUAUGGUGACUGAUACGUGCUAGGCACUAUGACAGAUCGUAAAUGAUAAUUAUAAAUAUAAUAAACUACCAAAUUAUUAUUUACUUAUUUUUUUGCCACUCUGGUGAUGCUUUCAAUAACAACAAACAACUGUCAUAAAUAAAAGCUGCUCCACAUUAAAUCUUUGCCAUGCAACCAGCACCGUCCUGGAUCCUUCGCUAAUAGACACCAUUUAUUCAUGCAACAAAGGCUACAGAAUACAAUGAUGAGAAAAAUUUACCUUAUUCCACCUUCCUGCUAGAAUCGAGUGAAGAGACAUCCUUUGAGUAAGUAACCACACAGAUACUGAGGCUGGCUUGCUAGAGCAGCAAUUCAUUCCCUCACCACAGUGAGGACGGCACUGUGCAGUCUCCUCCCGUUGUUUACUUUUCAAGAGUCAGACAGCAAUCUCAUCAUCAUUCCUUCAGGCCCUCUGCCAUGCUGCCCUGCUUUGGAGCUAGCUGACAAUGGACUGAAAUCUCUACAAACUGGAAUGAUGCUCCGUCCUUUUGGGGUUGGUCUCUCCCGCUGGCACCCUAGGCUCUCAGCAGUGACAGCUGGGUGGGGGAAGUUCAAGAUCUUCAGGACAUGCAGAGCCUCCACCACCAUUUGCAGUGUGUAGAAAAAGGACCGACUUCCUACAAGAAAUGUGUUGUUUUGUCCACUUGGUUACGAGAGUCACUACCGUAGCUGGCGCCCUGGGUGUGUUCACAUGGGACACAGACACCUUCACACUCUGUGCUGAGAAGCCCCCACACUCCCAUCUCAGACCUUCCCACCCGCCUUCAGAGUCUCGACUCUGUUCCGGAUCACCCACUGCCCAGGAAAUGUGCUCACCUCUGUUCCUGGGUGUCUCCCGGACACAGCCAAAUGUACUGCUUGGGAUUCUGACUCAGUCACGUAGCAAGGGCUUACGGCACAGCAGGGACUCAACAGAUGUAAGAGCGAGUGAAGAAAUGAAGGAACGAAUGCAUGAAUAAAGAUCCAGGAUCACCAGUGGUGGAAGUUUCAGGACAAACUUGUGCAUAGGAUUUGUAAAAACCCUUGGAAGACCCAGCAGCUCAAACCCACCCUGGAUGGCGGAUGGGGCAGUCAAAGUCAGAAGUUCCUGACCAUUUUCCAAAAAGGGUUUGGAGGCCCCUCCAGAAUUAGGCAGAAGGACAUGGGAAGGGCUUUCUCCUCUGCUGAGGGUCUCAGGAACCUAGGUGUCUGUUGCAAGUUUGCACAGCAGGGGGAAAAGAUGAAGAGUUUGCCCCUCCUUGCCCAGGAGAAAGAUCUUCCUAUCGCGCCGAAUUCCCUCAGUUCUUUAUUCCUGUGAGCAACCAGGGGAUGGAUUCCUGGUCCCCAUCUCUGUGCCUGGUGCAUAAAAAGUGCUCAAUAAAUGUUUGAUGAAUGAAUGAAAUAAUGUAAUUAAGAAUUGAAGAGGGUGGGGUAGAGGGAGAGAGUCUUUUCAAUCCUUAGGAGUUGUCCUCAAGCACCAAGAAGGCCAUAUUUGCAUACAAAUAAUUGAUAUUCUAAUUACAAAUCAUUCGUAUUGCUUUAUUAAGCAGAUCCCCAAAGGAUCUGUAGAAGAUAGAUUCCAUGCUCCUUAGGGGUAAGGACAGCAUAUUUACCUCCUUGUUCCCCGACGGCAAUGG
This 1902-nucleotide long non-coding RNA is filed under the name Heterocephalus glaber (naked mole-rat). RNAcentral describes it as "lncRNA (ENSHGLG00100042755.1)". The record is from RNAcentral. Lineage: Eukaryota; Metazoa; Chordata; Mammalia; Rodentia; Bathyergidae.